GUGGGGAAUAUUGGACAAUGGGCGAAAGCCUGAUCCAGCCAUGCCGCGUGUGUGAAGAAGGUCUUCGGAUUGUAAAGCACUUUAAGUUGGGAGGAGGGCAGUAAGUUAAUACCUUGCUGUUUUGACGUUACCGACAGAAUAAGCACCGGCUAACUUCGUGCCAGCAGCCGCGGUAAUACGAAGGGUGCACGCGUUAAUCGGAAUUACUGGGCGUAAAGCGCGCGUAGGUGGUUUUGUAAGUUGGAGGUGAAAUCACCGGGCUCAACCUGGGAACUGCCUCCAAAACUGCAUGAAUAGAGUACGGUAGAGGGUAGUGGAAUUUCCUGUGUAGCGGUGAAAUGCGUAGAUAUAGGAAGGAACACCAGUGGCGAAGGCGACUACCUGGACUGAUACUGACACUGAGGUGCGAAAGCGUGGGGCGCAAACAGGAUUAGAUACCCGUGUAGUCC
This 449-nucleotide ribosomal RNA is filed under the name uncultured bacterium. RNAcentral's name for it is "partial 16S ribosomal RNA". It matches the Rfam family "Bacterial small subunit ribosomal RNA", at positions 354 to 796 of the family's 1533-position model. The record is from RNAcentral.